Molecule: ribosomal RNA, 301 nt
Filed under: uncultured bacterium
Lineage: Bacteria
Description: partial 16S ribosomal RNA
Rfam family: Bacterial small subunit ribosomal RNA
Source: RNAcentral
CAGCAGCCACGGGAAUACGUAGGUGGCAAGCGUUGUCCGGAAUUAUUGGGCGUAAAGCGCGCGCAGGUGGUUUAAUAAGUCUGAUGUGAAAGCCCACGGCUCAACCGUGGAGGGUCAUUGGAAACUGUUAAACUUGAGUGGAGGAGAGAAAAGUGGAAUUCCUAAUGUAGCGGUGAAAUGCGUAGAGAUGUGGAGGAACACCAGCGGCGAAGGCGACUCUCUGGUCUGUAACUGACGCUGAGGAGCGAAAGCGUGGGGAGCGAACAGGAUUAGAUACCCCCGUAGUCCCUGUCUCUUAUAC